Long non-coding RNA from Peromyscus eremicus (cactus mouse), 1851 nucleotides. RefSeq lists it as uncharacterized. NCBI's taxonomy places the organism in Eukaryota, Metazoa, Chordata, Mammalia, Rodentia, Cricetidae. The transcript is spliced from 2 exons. The record is from RefSeq and is a predicted model, not a curated record.
UGGCUCUUUCUUUACUCUCUACUUUCAGUAUUGUGGGCUGAGCUGGUAACAGGAAGAAAGAGACGGCAGAAGCAGCGGAGUAGCAACAGCAACUGGGGUGUUGUUAGGACACGCUAUGAGAGGGAUAAGGCAGCAGCCAGUUUGACAGCUGAAGAGGAAGCAACUGAACAACUUGAGAGCAGCCCAGGCAGGAAGAAAUGCCAUGGAAGUAGGAAGACACUAGGAGAGGAUGAAGAGCUGAGGCAGAAGGACAAGGGAUAUAAAGAGCCAGAGAAGAGAAACUGCAGAUCUUGGUCCUAGAAGAGUUCCAGAGAGUUGUCAAGUCUUUUGGGACAAAGGUCUCAGACACCCCAGGUCAAGAGCUAGCUGCUGUCAAGAAGCUCCUACAGUGACUGGUGUUAUAGUUCUUGGGCUUAAGGUGUGACCGUCAUUGGCUUUUGACGGUGGACGGUGCUAUAACUCUUAGACACAGGCUAACAGGACCCUUGACCCUUAAACCUUGGCAGUUUCCUGGAACCCUUUUAAGGACCAGAACCUGCUGCAGCUUUCCCGUCUUUAGCGCUUGACAGACUUUGCGGUCUGCUCCUUGCCUGGUUACUCUCUGGAACUCUUCAGCCCGCUCUGGCUGCCGCCGCCGCCGCCAUCUUUACUGAAGGUCCUGCUCUGUCACUGCUCCCACGGUCUCCUCAUCAUGUCACCGGGGCUGCCUGCUGCGCCGGUGACGGAGAUCAAAGGCAGGCAAUAGCCUGAUGCCACAACAUCGAGGCAGCUCAGGAGGGUGACUUCCACUUUUCCAAAACGUGAGCCCAACCGCCUGAUUCUAAAGCCAGGAGGGGCGUUUGUAGACCCGUCAGGAUACAGCCCUCUCUGCAAAUGAAGGGUUGUGUUUGUACCGACUCGGGGAACUGUCAGCCAAGCAACUGGUCAGAUGAACUUCACGGCAGGCUGACGAUUUAAGACUCUUAGCAAACACUCUCAGGACACGUGGGCAGCUGCAGGAGACCACUAUGUGUCAGGCCGAUCUGCUCCAGACAACUGUCUCUAGCCUUGGAAAGCAGCACUUCAAAUAAGAUGAGCCUCAGUGAAUGCUAGAUAAUCCGGCUACUGUCUCCACUCAGGCCAGAAGAGGAGCCCUUCCCCAUCUUCAAAUCCUUAGCUCAUCACAUCGGCAAAGUCUCCUUUGCCAAGUAAGACGACAAAGUCAUCGGUUCCGGUGAUCAGGUAACAGACACCCUUGCAGCAUCGUUGUGCUGUCUGCCACAGGGAUAACGUCUGGUGAUGGUGACUCCAAAAGCCAGGCCUGUAAAGGACACGCAACCUGCACCUGUGGCCACAAGCUACAGUGAGGAGGAUCUGUACACAGGAAGUGUAUCUGUGAGUGUCAGGUGCCAGGAGCUCCCACAGCAAAGGCCUCCUCACCCAGAAAGACGUCCCUGAAAAACCUUUCAGCUGCUCUGAAGUACUCUCCAGCAGCUCCUUCAUCUCACUACAUGGCAGCAUUUACCACUCGGCCUUCCAAUAGUGUGUUUAUUGACCCACUUGGAUUGAGGGAUUUACAUCGUCCGUGUGAGCCCUACACAAAAGACGUGGGUAUUUAACUCGAAUGUUUCAAAAUAAGUGACUGAAAGAAUUGAAAUUCUGUGACAUUUACUAUUUCCCUCAAAAGCAGGACUUAACAAAUGUACAGAAUGUACAAUUUUGCUUGCAUAGUCAAUCCGGCCUCUGGGUGAUGUAUUUGAAACUGUGAAACGCUAAUACUUGACUGGCUAUUUGGCCUGAUUGUGUUAUGGGGCUUUUAUCAGAAAGAGUACAGAGAUUUCUUCUGUCUCAUAAAAAACGGAUUCGAGAUUA